RNAcentral lists this long non-coding RNA (390 nucleotides) under Salvator merianae (Argentine black and white tegu). Its description in RNAcentral is "lncRNA (ENSSMRG00000021937.1)". Lineage: Eukaryota; Metazoa; Chordata; Lepidosauria; Squamata; Teiidae. The record is from RNAcentral.
CACAAGCAAUGCAACCACAGAAUCUCCUUCCAGAAGCCAACGAGGUGUGAGCAAAGCUGGAAUAAGGUGAAAAUUUCACCCGAUGAAGUGCCAAUGAACAAUUUAUUUCUGGCCACCACACCAUUUCACAGCAUCAGUCAGAGAAAAUUUUGAGGUAGAAGAAUGGCAGCCAUCAAUGAGAAACACCACUUUCCUGGGGAAUUCAAGAAAGGAACUUGGUGAAAAUAUUAAACACACACACAAAAAAGAGGGUGUUUUCUGUUCCGAAGUUCCGUAAGACAUUCUCGCUGAAGCAAUAACUUGUUCAUCAAUCCUAAGAGUCAAAAAGUUACAGUGAAGAGUUGAUGAGCCAAUGCAUAGACAGGUAAUAGUGUUUUAUUUUACUACCUU